AUACGGAGGGUCCAAGCGUUAUCCGGAAUCAUUGGGUUUAAAGGGUCCGCAGGCGGGCAAUUAAGUCAGAGGUGAAAACCCAUCGCUCAACGAUGGAACUGCCUUUGAUACUGGUUGACUUGAGUUAUACGGAAGUAGAUAGAAUAAGUAGUGUAGCGGUGAAAUGCAUAGAUAUUACUUAGAAUACCGAUUGCGAAGGCAGUCUACUACGUAUAUACUGACGCUGAGGGACGAAAGCGUGGGGAGCGAACAGGAUUAGAAACCCUUGUAGUCC
RNAcentral lists this ribosomal RNA (274 nucleotides) under uncultured bacterium. Its description in RNAcentral is "partial 16S ribosomal RNA". It matches the Rfam family "Bacterial small subunit ribosomal RNA", at positions 523 to 796 of the family's 1533-position model. The record is from RNAcentral.